UGGAUUUAGGUGAAUUCGACAAAAUACAACGUGAUUUUGGUAACAAAAAAAAAUCUACCCUUUAGAUCACAACAAAAUCAUAGUGUUAUCAUUUUGUCAAAUUCACUAUAAAUCCAAACAUUCCACUAUAUAUGGAGAGUGGAAUUUGCAAGUUGCAACCUUUUAAACCGUGGUUGCGGUAAUGAUCAUGAUUUUUUCAUGAUCAUUCAUAUUGUGGAGAGUUUAUUUGCUUUUAUUUUAAAAAAACUCUUUUGUGAUAAUUUGCAUAUACAUAUACAUUUGCGAUCUGAUUGUGUGGUUGCCAGAGAAAACUCGGCAAAUAAAACAUGAGUAGAGUUUUGACGGAGAGAUAAAUCUUCUUGAACUGCAACAACCACUUGGAGAGAUGAAUAAUAUCUGGAGAUUAAUAAUCUAUCUGGAAAUGAACUGUAAUUCCUGACCUUAUGGCAUUUGUAUGUACUGCAGGACACACACCCUAGUGUGAAUCUAAUCAGGUAUGAGUAUGAUUGUACCAUGGUGG
This 520-nucleotide long non-coding RNA is filed under the name Trifolium pratense (red clover). Its description in RNAcentral is "long non-coding RNA (TPRA_LNC002010)". Lineage: Eukaryota; Viridiplantae; Streptophyta; Magnoliopsida; Fabales; Fabaceae. The record is from RNAcentral.